UAACAAUUCAAUGAGUAAGUUAUUUUUAAUAUUCUCAUCUUACAGAUAAAAAAUACUUGGGGGAUUUUUCUGUAGAGAGGGGCGUUUCACUGAUUUGUAAGAAACUAUAGGUAAUAGAGGUCACUAGGACCCAGAUCUCCCUUAUAAAAUAGCUAAGGCAAAAAAAGAUUUGAGAAUCCAAAAGGUUAGAGAACAACUAAUGCAAAGCCAAGCAAGAACCCAAACAAGAGGAACUGUUUUGAUGACAAAGCUCAUCUUCUUAAGGUAUCUAAUAUGUGCCAAUCCCUGUGCUACAGACACAAGAAAACAGACCCUGAUGACACUCCAGUGGAGGAGAAGGUAGCUAGACUGGACUGGACCCAUCAGAGCUCCAAGACUGGAAAGACAGAUGCCAAUUUUGUGGGGAGCCUCAGAGGAGUUGGGAUGUUGGACACAUGAGCCAACCUGAUCUUUGGCUGGAGAAGAAACUGGGAGCUAAAGGAUCUCUUCCUGAUUACGUGGUGCUGUGGAGGAAGUAGUGAUUCUGAAACACUGGAAGCCAGAAGACAGUGGAGGAAAAUCUUCAACCUACUGAAAGAAGACAGCUCUCAACCUAGAGCUCUAUUCCUAGCAAAAACAUUGUUUGAGGAAAAAGGCCUCUCUCUGUCACCUAGGCUGGAGAGCAGUGGUGCAAUUACAGCUCACAGCAGCCUCAACUUCCUGGGGUCAAGUGAUUCUCCUACCUCAGCCUCCCAAGUAGCUGGGACUACAGGCAUAUGCCACCACAUCCAGUUAAGUGUGUGUUUGUGUGUGUGUGGGUAGACAGCAUCUCACUAGGUUGCCUAGGCUGGUCUCAAACUUCUGGGCUCAACUGAUACUUCUGCCUCAGGCUCUCAAAGUUCUGGGAUUACAGGCAAGUUGCUGCAUUUUUAAAAUUACAUUUUAUCAGUUAAGAGCGUUCGCUAGUUAUUGUUUUCUAUAUAUGUUUAUAAUAAAUACACAAUAUAUUUUUUACAAAAGUCUUUUCUGCAUUUGUUUAGAUUAUAUAUGAGUCUUUAUUCUGUUACUAUGGUGAAUUACACUGAUUGACUUUCAUAUAUUAUACCAAACUCACAUUCCUAAAACAAAAGCAACUUAGUCAUGACAUGUUAUCAUUUUUAUGUAUUUCUAGAUUUUAUUUGAUAGCAUUUUGUUUAAAAGAUUUGAACCUAUGUUUAUGAGUUAGAUUGAUCUGUAAUCUUUCCUUUUAACAUCCCUAUCAGGUAUUGAUAUCAACACUCCUGGCUUUAUAAACUGAGUUGGGAAGUAUUUCUCCCCAUUUUUUUUUUCAGUCUUGGAAACAUAUAAUUUGUUUCUAUGUUUUUGAGAAUGGUAUUGUUUCUUAAUUAUAUAGUAGAAAAAAAGUAUGUUGAAGUCUUUGCCUAUGAACAUAAUAAUUUUGUCAAGUUUGCGUUGUAGUUCUGUCAAUGUUUGCUUUGUGCAGCAUACACAUUUGGAAUUAUUAUCUCUCUCUGAUGAAAUGAUUAUUAUCACUACAAAGUAUCCCAGCUUGCUUUGAAUAAUGUUUCUUGUCUGCAUCUGAUAUUAAUCUAGCAAGAUCAGCUUUCUUGUUAACAUUUGCAUUGUUAUAUCUCCCUACCCUUUUUACCUUCAGACUUCUGAAAUCUUACAUCUUGGGUCAUCACUUGUAAGAAGCAUAUAGUUGUUGUGUUUUAGUCAUGUCUCAUAAUAUUUGUUUUUAAGUGGUCUCCUACAGUUCAUUUAAAUUUAACAUCAUAACAUGUAUUUGUGAUUACAUCUACAUCGUAUUACUUUUCAUUUGUCUUGCUUAUACUUUAUUCCUUUUUCUCUCCCUUUUUGCCUAAUUUUGGACUAAUUAUCUGUUAGUAUGCCAUUUUCCAUUACCUUUAACUCAGUAAUUCUACACUCUCUUUUUUUUAUUAACUUUCAGUCCAUUAAGAGUUUAUUUUGGGUAGGCAUCUGGGAUCUCCUUCUUUUUGUGUGUCCCCUUUCUUUUCUGUUUCACUCCCAUUCUAUUUUGUUUAUUUCAACAGAUUUUGGAGUACAAGUGGUUUUUUGUUAGAUGAAUGAAUUAUAUGGCAGUGAAUUCUGAGAUUUUAGUGCACCAUCACCCAAGUAGUAUACACUGUGCCUAAUGGGUGUUUUUUAUCCCUAGCCCUCCUCCCCUAUUACUCUCUGAGUCGCUAAAGCCCAUUAUAUUGUAUUACCCUGCAUGCCUUUGCAUACUCAUAGCUUAGCUCCCACUUGUAAGUGAGAACAUGGUUUUUGGUUUUCCAUUCCUGUGUUACUUCACUUAGAAUAUUGUCCUCCAGCUCUAUCCAAGUUGCUGAGAAAGACAUUAUUUCCUUCCACUUUAUGGCUGUGUACACUCUUUUUCUAUUCUUUUAGUGAUUUCACUAGAUGAAAACAAGCCCUUUGUACUUACUAAGUCUAAGGUUUCCUGCGACUCUUACCAUUUCUCAGACAACUCAGGAACAUUAGAACACUAACUCAUAUCUUCCCCUCUUGACUUACAAGCUAUUCUUAUUAUGUACUUCAAUUCCAUACCUACUCAUAAUGAGAGCUUAAUUUUAUUGAUUUACACAGAAAAAUUCACUGGAUCACUCUCAUAUAUGCUUGUUUUUACCUCUUCAUUCUUCCUCGUGUCUAUGAAUUUUCACCUGAAAUCAAGGAUUUUUUAAUGCCUGAAGAACGUGCUGUAUCAGAGGCUGAUUUGCUGUGAAUAUAUUAAAACUUAAGUUCCAUAAAAUUUUUCUGACAGGGACCCCUUUUCCAGUGUGCUUACAUGAUUAAAUACUUUUGUAAAAUUUGAAAAAUAAGAUAUUUCAGCUGAAAUGAGUUUAAGACCACUUUCCUUUGCACUAGGGUUUCUUGUUCAUCAGACUUCCCUUCAUAACAAAUAAUACUUGAUUGGACAUAAGCUAGGGGAAGUGGAGUUGCACACACAUUUGGCUUGGGUUUAGAAUACAUUUUUAAAUUUCUUGUCACCUCUGUGUGUAGCUAAAUAGUUUCUAGCUAUUUUUUGGAUACUCCUACCCUUUGUUGUGCUGACUCACCUGACAUCAGGACACGAAGAUGGAAGGCUGAGGUAGUUAAUAAAUAUGCUGUGCUUUUGCCUGUGUGAAAAAAACAGAUACAUGUAUCCUAUGGUGUUCAGCAUUGGGAAUAUGUGGUUGUGGAAGAAGAGGAAGAGGAAGAAGAAGAAGGAGGAGGAGGAAAAAGAAGAAGGAGGAGGAGGAGGAAAGGAGGAAAGAAAGAAAGAAGAAAAAAAGAAAGAAAGAAAGAAAGAAAGAAAGAAAGAAAGAAGGAAGGAAGGAAGGAAGGAAGGAAAGGAAAGGAAAGGAAGAAGAAAGAAAGAAAAGGAAACUGAAAUGUGCAAAGGCAUUAGCUAGUAUGUGGGAAAUUCUUUGAUUCAUCAGACAUUUAAGAUCAUAAAUCAGGUUAUUAAUUAUGCUUAAUAAAAGUAGAAGUUUUCCCUUAUCAAGAAUAUACUGAAAAGCAUUAUAAAUCUACAAUACAUACAUUUUUCUUUUUUAUGAGAAUUGUGUGAAAUCAAAUAUAUCAGAAUUCCUGUGUUUGUUAACUACAAACUUUCAGUAGUGCCACAAAUAUCAAAUUUACAUGUGGGUGAUGCUUUAUGCAUCCCAAUAGGAAGGAUCAUAUUUGGGAGUAUUUGAUGCCUAUUUUCCUGAUAUUAUCUGAUAAUAAAAGUCUAAAUAAAGCAGCGGGCAAAAUUGGCUAAACACAGCAUAACAGAAGAACUUAAAAUAACUAUAGAUGUGUUUAGUAGUUAUUUAAUUAAAUAUAUAAUUUGUCUCAAUUUGGAGAUAUUUGUGGUAUUUUUAGCUUUUUGAAAGCAAUUUUGUUAAUUUUUCAUUCGAACAAAUAUUCACUUUUUUUAAAUUUAACUUUGCAGUCAAAACUUGAAUUUUUUUCUAUUAAAGAGGGACUGGAAGUUAACAAAUGCUAAGUUCCACAUAUCCUAAACCAAAACCUUCCUUUUAAUUGCUUAUUCUGUGUUAAUAAAUACUCUGCGCUUUAUACUCUGUGCUGUUGUUUGGCUAAAAAUGUCUUUAAUUCUUUGGCAUUUUUUUGAAGUUGUGCUGGAUUUUGAAUUCUAGAUUUUGAAUUAUUUUAACCCCUUAAAGAUAUUUUUCUUCUUCUGGUUUCCCUUUUUCUGUUGAAGUCUGCUGACAUUUUGAUUGAUGCUUCUUUUUAGAUAAACUGUCUUUAUUCUGGCUGCUUUUUCUUUAGUUUUAGCAGUUUUACUGUGAUACGUCUUGAAUCUGUAACGUACAGUCUUUCAAUUCCUUAUGGAAAAUCCCAUUAUUAUUGCUCCUGCCCCUAAUCACUGUCUUCUCCUUCUGGAACCCCAAAAAGUGUAAACUUAUAUUACAACUAUUUUAUACAUCACUUUAUUCACUAUUCUCUGUGUUUUCCUUCUUUUGUUGCUGCAUGCUUUGAUCUGGAGAUUUCCUUUUGAAAUGACCUGCAAUUUCUUAUUCUUCAUUCAGCUUUGUAUAGUAUAUUUUAAUACAUCCAUUAAUCCACUACUUGUAUUGUUUUCAUUCUCUUUCAAAACUCUCAUUUUUAAAUUAUUUCCUUGAACAUUUAAGCAGAGUUAUUUUAAAGUCUAUAUUUUAUUGCUUCUUGACUUGUAUCAGCUAUGAUUCUGGGACUAUUGUAUGUCAUUCUUCUUGGGUUUUGACCAUGUCUUCUUUUUCUCUAGCAUAUUUGAACAUUUUCUGUUGAAUGCAAGACAUUUUAAUCUGACAAAGGCCUAAUAUCCAGAAUCUACAAAGAACCCAAACAAACUUACAAGAAAAAAACAAACAAUCGCAUCAACAGGUGAGCCAAGGAUGUGAACACUUCUCAAAAGAAGACAUUUAUGCAGCCAACAGACACAUGAAAAAAUGUUCAUCAUCACUGGCCAUGAGAGAAAUGCAUAUCAAAACCACAAUGAGAUACCAUCUCACACCAGUUAGAAUGGUGAUCAUUAAAAAGUUGGGAAACAACAGGUGCUGGAGAGGGUGUGGAGAAAUAGGAAGACUUUUACACUGUUGGUGGGACUGUAAACUAGUUCGUCCACCGUGGAAGACAGUGUGGUGAUUCCUCAAGGAUCUAGAACCAGAAAUACCGUUUGACCCAGCCAUCCCAUUCCUGGGCAUAUACCCAAAGUAUUAUAAAUCAUGCUGCUACAAAGACACAUGCACAUGUAUGUUUAUUGCAGCACUAUUCACAACAGCAAAGACUUGGAACCGACCCAAAUGUCCAUCAAUGAUAGACUAGAUUAAGAAAAUGUGGCACAUAUACACCAUGGAAUACUAUGCAGCCAUAAAAAAAGGAUGAGUUCAUGUCCUUUGUAGGGACAUGAAUGAAGCUGGAAACCAUCAUUCUCAGCAAACUAUCGCAAGGACAAAAAACCAAACACCUCACGUUCUCACUCAUAGGUGGGAACUGAACAAUGAGAACACUUGGACACAGGAAGGGGAACAUCACACAUCGGGACCUGUUGUGGGGUGGGGGUAGGGGGGAGGGAUACCAUUAGGAGAUAUACCUAAUGUAAACGACG
RNAcentral lists this long non-coding RNA (5572 nucleotides) under Homo sapiens (human). RNAcentral describes it as "HSALNT0328809". Lineage: Eukaryota; Metazoa; Chordata; Mammalia; Primates; Hominidae. The record is from RNAcentral.